UGAGGAAUAUUGGUCAAUGGGCGGGAGCCUGAACCAGCCAAGUCGCGUGAGGGAAGACGGUACUAAGUAUUGUAAACCUCUUUUGUCAGGGAACAAAGGACUCCACGAGUGGAGAGAUGAGUGUACCUGAAGAAAAAGCAUCGGCUAACUCCGUGCCAGCAGCCGCGGUAAUACGGAGGAUGCGAGCGUUAUCCGGAUUUAUUGGGUUUAAAGGGUGCGCAGGCGGAGAGUCAAGUCAGCGGUAAAAUGUCGGGGCUCAACCCCGGCCGGCCGUUGAAACUGGCUCACUAGAGUUGGAGAGAAGUAUGCGGAAUUCGUGGUGUAGCGGUGAAAUGCAUAGAUAUCACGAAGAACUCCGAUUGCGAAGGCAGCAUACCGGCUCCAUACUGACGCUCAGGCACGAAAGCGUGGGUAUCGAACAGG
RNAcentral lists this ribosomal RNA (423 nucleotides) under uncultured bacterium. Its description in RNAcentral is "bacterial SSU rRNA". It matches the Rfam family "Bacterial small subunit ribosomal RNA", at positions 355 to 776 of the family's 1533-position model. The record is from RNAcentral.